RNAcentral lists this ribosomal RNA (937 nucleotides) under uncultured archaeon. Its description in RNAcentral is "bacterial SSU rRNA". It matches the Rfam family "Archaeal small subunit ribosomal RNA", at positions 1 to 887 of the family's 1478-position model. The record is from RNAcentral.
UCUGGUUGAUCCUGCCGGACCCGACUGCUAUCGGAUUGGGAUUUAGCCAUGUUAGUUGUGAGUCCUUGGCUACAGGGACGCAGCGUACGGCUCAGUAACACGUAGUCAACCUGCCCUGGAGACGCGGACAAACCCGGGAAACUGGGGCCUAUCCGCGCUAGAUGACCUCAUCUGGAAGGAGAGGUCGUCGAAAAGGGCGCACGGGUAUGCUCUGUGCGAACCGCUCCAGGAUGGGACUGCGGCCGAUCAGGCUGUUGGCGGGGUAAUGGCCCACCAAACCUGUAACCGGUACGGGCUUUGAGAGAAGGAGCCCGGAGAUGGACACUGAGACAAGGGUCCAGGCCCUACGGGGCGCAUCAGGCGCGAAACCUUCGCAAUGCGCGAAAGCGUGACGAGGCUAGUCCGAGUGCUUCCUGCUAAAGGGAGCUUUUCUCGGCUGUAAAUAGGCCGGGGAAUAAGGGGAGGGCAAGUCUGGUGUCAGCCGCCGCGGUAAUACCAGCUCCUCGAGUGGUCGGGACGAUUAUUGGGCCUAAAGCACCCGUAGCCGGUUCCGUAAGUCCUCUGUUAAAUCCAGUCGCUCAACGGCUGGUCUGCAGAGGAUACUGCGGGACUAGGAGGCGGGAGAGGCGGACGGUACUCCGCGUGUAGGGGUAAAAUCCUUUGAUCCGCGGAAGACCACCAGUGGCGAAGGCGGUCUGCCAGAACGCGCUCGACGGUGAGGGGUGAAAGCUGGGGGAGCGAACCGGAUUAGAUACCCGGGUAGUCCCAGCCGUAAACGAUGCGAGCUAGAUGAUUCGAUCGCAGUUCGCGAUCGAAGUGUCGCAGGAAGCCGUUAAGCUCGCCGCCUGGGGAGUACGGUCGCAAGGCUGAAUCGUAAGAAGAUUUUUUCUUCUUGCGCAGUUCACUUAAAGGAAUUGGCGGGGGAGCACCACAGGGG